UACGUAGGGUGCAAGCGUUGUCCGGAAUUAUUGGGCGUAAAGAGCUCGUAGGCGGUUUGUCGCGUCGGCUGUGAAAACUCGGGGCUCAACCCCGAGCCUGCAGUCGAUACGGGCAGACUAGAGUGCGGUAGGGGAGACUGGAAUUCCUGGUGUAGCGGUGAAAUGCGCAGAUAUCAGGAGGAACACCGGUGGCGAAGGCGGGUCUCUGGGCCGUAACUGACGCUGAGGCGCGAAAGCCAGGGGAGCAAACGGG
RNAcentral lists this ribosomal RNA (253 nucleotides) under uncultured bacterium. RNAcentral's name for it is "partial 16S ribosomal RNA". It matches the Rfam family "Bacterial small subunit ribosomal RNA", at positions 524 to 776 of the family's 1533-position model. The record is from RNAcentral.